Molecule: ribosomal RNA, 335 nt
Filed under: Aphrodes hamiltoni
Lineage: Eukaryota; Metazoa; Arthropoda; Insecta; Hemiptera; Cicadellidae
Description: partial 16S ribosomal RNA
Source: RNAcentral
GGUUUAUGAAUUAUAAUUUUUAUUUUAUUUAUUUUUAGAAUUUUAUUUCUAAGUAAAAAAGCUUAGUUUUUUUUUUGGGACNAAAAGACCCUAUAGAACUUAAUUAAUUUAAUUUAUUAUUUAUUUUUUGUUUAAUAACACUAAGUUAAUAUUUAUAUUUGUUUGAUUGGGGCGAUUAUUAAGAAUAAUAAAACUUUAUUUCUUUUUUUCAUUUAUUUAUGAUUUAUUGAUCCAAUUUUUAUUGAUUAAAAGAUUAAGUUACCUUAGGGAUAACAGCGUAAUUNUAAGGGGGAGUUCUUAUUUAUAUUAAAGUUUGCCACCUCAAUGUUGAAAAA